Molecule: ribosomal RNA, 494 nt
Filed under: bacterium fme09x23p195
Lineage: Bacteria
Description: bacterial SSU rRNA
Rfam family: Bacterial small subunit ribosomal RNA
Source: RNAcentral
GCUACACAUGCAGUCGAGCGGAACGAGAAGUAGCUUGCUACUUCGGCGUCGAGCGGCGGACGGGUGAGUAAUGCAUAGGAAGUUGCCCAGUAGAGGGGGAUAACCAUUGGAAACGAUGGCUAAUACCGCAUAACCUCUUCGGAGCAAAGCGGGGGACCUUCGGGCCUCGCGCUACUGGAUACGCCUAUGUGGGAUUAGCUAGUUGGUGAGGUAAUGGCUCACCAAGGCGACNAUCCCUAGCUGGUCUGAGAGGAUGAUCAGCCACACUGGGACUGAGACACGGCCCAGACUCCUACGGGAGGCAGCNGUGGGGAAUAUUGCACAAUGGGCGAAAGCCUGAUGCAGCCAUGCCGCGUGUAUGAAGAAGGCCUUCGGGUUGUAAAGUACUUUCAGUUGUGAGGAAGGUGUGUAGUUAAUAACUGCGCAUUUUGACGUUAGCAACAGAAGAAGCACCGGCUAACUCCGUGCCAGCAGCCGCGGUAAUACGGAGGUGC